Molecule: long non-coding RNA, 1667 nt
Organism: Cottoperca gobio
Lineage: Eukaryota; Metazoa; Chordata; Actinopteri; Perciformes; Bovichtidae
Exons: 4
Source: RefSeq, a predicted model, not a curated record
AAGACAGUGGGCUGGGCGUCACACAUGAUUGGCUCCAGACUGAUUGUUCUAAUGACGCUCAUGUGUGAUCACUGUGACAUUUAGGUGUCUAUUUUACAUGCUCUGGGAAUAUCUGCAUUUGUCAUCAAACUUCAGUGUAUGAAGCAGACCCAUGGGGUUACAGUCUUGCAAGCCUUGCAACUCCUGCCUGCCGGACUGCAGAGCGGCUGGUGGCUGCUCGUGUGUGUGCGGCGACUGGAGAUAUUGCUCCGAACGCUGCUGCUGUGACAUCUGCUGCCAGAUGUGUGUGGACGUGUGCUCUGGCGUGUGUUCAGGAGACUGCAGCUACACCUUCUGUACCCUCUGCCUCAGCAUGGCACAGAGCUGUACCUCGUUUUUUACCACCCAACAAACUGAAACAUCAGAGGCACAACAGCCUAUGAUGGAUCUAGUACAGCGUGCCUAGUGAACAUGUGAGAGACUAUAAGACCAAACCCAUAAUAUACAUCGAAAAACACCAGAACAAUGGCCCUCACAAUAAGCCCAAGCUUAUCACCACAAUCAUGGCUGAACAAAACAACUGUGAUCAAAACAAGGCUUUCUGGGUCCCACCCCUGCGAUGGCAGAGACUGCACCCUACUUAACACUCAUGUCGCCACCCUUCAAGCCCCAUGCUGCACCUCAUUUCAUGUUAAUGGAUUUACUUCUUGUGUAUCUGGGUGGACAACCACUUUUACCUGUGUUUUCCAGUACAGCACUCUUAAAGAGACAAACAGGAUUCUCCGACCCUCAACGAAGCGAAAGUGAUGCACCGUUUACAUCUGGAGGAUUAAACUGGCCUCAUCCUGGCAUACGAGCAAUCCUUCAAAGCACUCGUUGGAUGCCUGCAAGAUUGUUUUGCACUUUGAGGCAAACAAAUAUAAUUUGGUUGCACGCAUUGUACCAUCUGAUAUCUCUUUUGUGAGAUAAAGGCGCCUUGGGACAUAAGGUGCUAUUUGCUUCCACUGAAUUAAACCUUUUUAUUAUCCUCCCAUGAAAUAGCAAGGUUAUGGAAAUUGUAAUGAUCGAGUGUGCCACGUCCCCGCAUCGAAAGACGCUUAGAACAAGGAAAAUGAGGAAAAUCUAACACUGUGGACCGUACCCGUCUCUGCUUGUGUUUUCUCCUCCUCCCCAGUCCCACUGGACUCUGCAGUGCAUUCAGUUCAACUCAAAUUUGUAUCCCUCUCAAACUCCGAGGAUAAGCUGUAUGGCCUAGUUUACUCCUUGAACUGACCUUAUCCUGCUGAAAGUUUGUGUGUCUAUAUUUAUACCCACAGUAAGUCCUGUGAGUCCAAAACAAUUUGUAUAUACUUCACUCACCUUGAUUGAGCAGCUGAGUGUGGUUUCUUUUGUAUGGAUUUUUCAGUUUUUUAUUUUCUUGACAUCUCCAGAGAGUGGAGGAUUGAAAUGGUGAAGUAUGUUUAAUAUCAGAAGUCCAGUAGGAGCUCUGAUACGAGUUGAAAAACUGUGCACAAAUGUUGCGUUGAGAUCAGUGACAUUGGGUACUGCAGAGAGCUGUAUUAUGUUGCCUCAGCUAAGUCUUUUUGAAUGUGUAUGUACUGUAUUUGUCCUAUUUUGUCUGCUUCUUGUGCAGUGUGGACUUUUACAAAUCAAUGAUACUAUAUCUUUAAAUAAAUUGUCUCACAGGG